UGCUCUCUCCCUCUCCGCCGCCGCCUCCCCUCCCUUUCUCCCCUUCCGCCUGCCUCCGUCGCCCCUCCCCGCCGGCGCUCCUCCUGCUUUGCACCUCCGCUGCCGCCCGCUACCACGGUAUCCAGAUCCGGUGCGAGCGCGGCUCGGAGGGAGAGGAGGCGAUCUUGGCGAGAUCCGCGACGGCCUGGCAGUUCGAUCGGGAGCCGCGCGGCCCCUCGCCGCGGCCACCGCCACGCUCCGCAUCCGCCUCUUCUAUAGCCCCGACGACCCUGCGCCCCUCCGUGCGGUGCUCGCGCUCAAGCGCCACCCGCGCAUCGAAGUCGGCGUCAACCACGUUGAGGAGGGCAAGGAGCCGCUUGUGUCUUGGAGAUAGAGUAAUCUCUGAUCCAUGUUUUCUUCUUGUACAACCACCAUAAGCAUGAUCUGCCUCCAAUCCUCCCUUGAGGUGGGCUAUGGCCCUGUGCUUGCCCUCUCCACGGCCUAGCACAUCCGCUCCAGUCCCCAUGGUUCUGACUGUAGCGGCGCUCCCCGGAUCCUGCUCCCGCCGAUCCUAACGCCUCUCCGGCAACGUUGGCCUCCGCGGGCUCACGUGCAAGCAGCCUCGGUAGGCACCGGUGCCCAAGGAAAGGAUGAAUACAGUGCCCACCAUGGCUAUGGCCUACAGUGGCCUUCACCUGGCAUGGUGUCCUCAAGUUGCAGCUUAUUGCCGGCCAAGCGGAGCUACUGGCCAAUGGCGGGGAAGAGAUCGUGUAAUCCCUGUACAGGCUGCCACAGUUGACGCCCCUUGGCCAACUAUCGCGUGUGGAGUCCAAUAAUGCCAAGGUGUUGCGCCUUGCUGGGUAUUAUUGUCUCCUGGAGCCACUCUGUCAAGAUGGACCAGAUAGCAUCAGAGAUUCUCUUGGCCUUCUUUGUUCUUAAGCAUGCUAAAAGUUUUGUUAAAUCAAGUGUGACAACUGGAGGGGUGUUGCAAUUUUAUUUUAACCAAAUGAAUUAAUAGGCAAUCUGUUUUGGAAUCAUGUUCUCUUCUGGUUGAUAAAUUAAAUUGGACUUUUUGGUGCAGAAAUAAAAAAAGUCAUAGUUACCGAUUACCAUCUUUCUUUAUAAAUGCCUUGCUCUUUCAGGUGUCUUUGCUGCUUCUUUUUAUUGCCUGAACUAUUUCAGACAUUAGGAGCACAUGAGAUUUGUUCAGACAUCUGUCCUUACCUCCUCAGGUAAUUACAAAACAACUUGAGAAUGAUGCACACUCAUGCUGUCCUAAUGGAACAUUUAAAUUAUAGAAUGUUCACUUGCGUCUCAUGGAUAUAUUGUGAGGAUUUCCUGUUUCUAAAAAUUGAAUAUUUGUAUAUGUUCGUCCGGUUGAAAGCCAUCAGAUGAGCAAUUGUAUAUGUUCAACUGGUGACUUUUACUUUUUGCCAUUCACAUUGGUGCACAGGAAAAAACAGUACACAAGAAAGAGGUUGGCCUCACUAAAAUGAUAAUUUUAAUGUUAUUUUGUCCGAAAAAAAUAUACUGGAAACAACUACUCUAUCAAAUGAGUUUUGUUAAGGUAUAAGGGGCUCCAAGUUUUAUGUGGUCUAGAACUGAACAGUUUUUUGUGCCUCUACAUGUUGAUGACAAAUUUACUCGGAUCAAUUUACUUGUAUGCAGCAGAUGAAGGCGACCAUUUGGUUCCGGUAGCUCAUUCAUAUGCCUACAGUGUGGAAGAAACUCAUAUUGGUGUGUUUCUAUUUGUACAUAUGCCAUUGAAUACUGGAUAUCAGCAUUAAAUACUCAGAAAUUUCUGCUUCAAAGUAUCAUGUCAUACAUGUUGAUCGUAUUGAUAAGCUACAACAUAUUUAUGUGUAGUAUUUAGGUUUGUUAGAGAUCUUAUCUGAAUGAAUAUAAGUUGGCUUCAAGUUUAAGAUGUCCAGCACAAUUCUAUCGGCAAUCA
This is a long non-coding RNA of Panicum virgatum (switchgrass), 1930 nucleotides long. RefSeq lists it as uncharacterized. The record is from RefSeq and is a predicted model, not a curated record. NCBI's taxonomy places the organism in Eukaryota, Viridiplantae, Streptophyta, Magnoliopsida, Poales, Poaceae. The transcript has 2 exons.